This 216-nucleotide ribosomal RNA is filed under the name uncultured fungus. Its description in RNAcentral is "partial small subunit ribosomal RNA". The stretch from base 93 to 216 matches the Rfam family "Eukaryotic small subunit ribosomal RNA", at positions 738 to 864 of the family's 1831-position model. The record is from RNAcentral. Lineage: Eukaryota; Fungi.
GACCUGGCUGGGCGGUCUUGCCGAAAGGUAAGCACUGCGUUAGCCGGGUCUUUCCUUCUGGGGAACCUGCGUGCUCUUAACUGGGUGCGCAGGGGAUCCAGGACUUUUACUUUGAAAAAAUUAGAGUGUUUAAAGCAGGCCUACGCUUGAAUACAUUAGCAUGGAAUAAUAGAAUAGGACUUUGGUUCUAUUUUGUUGGUUUCUAGGACCGAAGUA